Molecule: long non-coding RNA, 1741 nt
Filed under: Gossypium barbadense (sea-island cotton)
Lineage: Eukaryota; Viridiplantae; Streptophyta; Magnoliopsida; Malvales; Malvaceae
Description: long non-coding RNA (GBAR_LNC022632)
Source: RNAcentral
GUUAACCGAACCGAAUUUUUUCGAUUAAACCGAUCGGUUAACCGAAUAAACCAAAAAUCAUAUAAUUUUUAUUUUUGGUUAAAAAUUAACCGAUUUAACCAACUGAUUUAACCGAUUUAACCGAAUUGAAUCACUACAUAAUUAAAAAAAUUACAUAAGUCUUUGAAUCACUACAUAAUUAAAAACAUUACAUAAGUCCUUGAAUCACUACAUAAUUAAAAACAUUACAUAAGUCUUUGAAUCACUACAUAAUUUAAAAACAUUACAUAAGUCUUGAAAUUAACACAUAAUUGAAAUGUAAGUCUUUAAUAUUCUCCAUUUAUAUCCAUUUCUUCUUUCCAAAAAAUCUCCAUUUGCAUUAAACCUACAAAAAAAACAUGUAUAAUCUAUAUAAAACCAUCUGAACCCAAACAUAAAUGUCAAAUUUUGUUAUUAGUCCCUAUACUAUGUAUAAUCUGUAAACUUUUUAAAUUUUAUAAUUUAAGUAUUAUGUGAAAAUAACAUAUUUUAAUUUAAUAAAUCUAAUGACUGUGAUUAAAAUUGAAAUUUCAUUUUUUUAAAAAGAUAAUAAAACUAAAAUUGAUUAAAUUAAAGUAAAGGGACUAAAUACAUAAGUUGUGUAUGGUAGAAAGACUUGUAAGAAAAUUCUAUCAAAAAUAAAAGAGAGAAAUUACCAGUGCUUAAGAUCCUCCUACUUUAAUGUUUUGAGUCCAUGUCAAUCUAUUCUCUAGAUGUGAACUGUGAUGUCUCUAAGGAUCUUUUUCUACAUACAAGCAUUCUUCCUGUUUUUUCUCAAGAAUUUAACAUUACACUUUUACCUAAAUGCAGAUACUCUUUUACCUAUUGCUUGAAGGUUGUUUUCCAGAUUGUUGCGGGUUAGUAUAUGCAAAUUAGGAGCAUGAGCAGCAAGCAAAGCAAGAGUGAUGAAGUAAUUGAAACAAUUAUAUCUUACUAUAAUGCCAGUAUCUUUGAAAAUUGAAAUGGAAACAAUUUUCAAAACAAAUUCAAUAUCUUUCAAAUUGAAGGCGAUGACAACAAUGCCACUAAUAUGCGAAAAAGGUAAGUCAAUAAUGAACCCUAAAUGUACAUACAUACAUACGAGAAAAUUAGUCUGUUAUGGCUUCAGUUUCUUAAGUAAUUACUGUAUCACUCUCCAUGAUACACCAUUGAUUAAAAUUUUUUGCUAAAAACUCAAAAACCAUUGCCUCUUUCGAUGGCAAAACCAUAUAAAAUCGAACUUUAUACGUAGUUACCAGCAUGUUUUGGUCAUUACUACUUGAAUUUUUAGGGAGGGAUAAAGGGAGUUGUCGGCAAGGUAGACGAACUAAACAAAACAAAACCCUAAAAUUAAAAAUAUAUCUGCCAUUGAAGAAAUUAGAAAAAAAAAACAAAGGGAAAUUAGAAGAAAGCAAACCUGGCCUCUGGGUAUUGGUGUGCUGGAAGAGAAAUGGACAACAAAAAUGGUGGAUUUUCCCGAUUCGACUGAAAAUCUGAUAUUGAGAUUGAGAAAUGAGAACCCGAUGGCCGAUUUGUGACUUUGUGUUGCUGUUACCAGCACUUGCUGAGUGCUCUUGAGAAAAGAUUUGGUUCUUAGGCUUGGAGCCUGGAGGAGAGAAAAUAAAUUAGGCUAGCCGGCUGGGUUUAAUUUAAGGCCCAUUAACCUACAAAAUUCGGUUAAAUCGAAAAAAUUCAGUUAACUGACCGGUUUCGAACCGAUUUAACCGUUAAUCAAAAAUUUAAA